Molecule: long non-coding RNA, 453 nt
Filed under: Homo sapiens (human)
Lineage: Eukaryota; Metazoa; Chordata; Mammalia; Primates; Hominidae
Description: non-protein coding lnc-KHDRBS3-4:7
Source: RNAcentral
GGCCUGCCUGGUGGCCCUCCCUGUGAGAAGGUAUUCUUCCUGCUCCAUUGACAUCAGGCUUAUUAGCCAUGUUUCUGGAUUUGGUCCAUUUCAUCAUAAAGAGAACAUGGAGCAGGGCUGCAGCUGAUCUUCAAAGGGCAUGAACACAAGCCAGAGAGAAGCCGUUAUUGUUGUAAGCCCUGAAGAUUUGGGGGAUAUUAUUGCAACACAACUCAGCCCAAGCUGACUAAUACAACAAGUUUCUAUGUAUACAUGGAAAUGUAUGUAAUCUUAGCCUCAAAAAAAAAAAAAAGAAAAAAAGAGUAUCUGAAAAUCCCAGGAUACUCGGGGCUCAUGGUGCGUAGUCAAUGAAAUGAUUAGCUCUCUUUCUUCAUCCUUCCCUCUCCAAUCUUUUCUUUUCAUUCUCCUUCAUCUCAUUCUCCUUCUCUCUGUGAUUUACAAAGCUGGUCAUGG